UAAUAUAUUUGCUUAUUUAAUAUCUUUGUGGAAAUGGAAGAGCCUCAUAUUCACAUGUAAGGUAUCUAUAUUCAAAAAAUUAUAAAUAUAUUAAUUAAGUUUCAUCAAUAUAUUAGGUGCACUGAAACCGUCAUUAAUCCAUUUCUUCCUCCCAAGUCCUUGACUUGAUUCAACGGGAUUUAAGUUAAUAAAAUUCCGGGUUUUCUCCUCAAAAAAAAAAAAAAAAAGUCCCAACCAAUCUACCACCACCCC
This 252-nucleotide long non-coding RNA is filed under the name Salvia miltiorrhiza (redroot sage). RNAcentral describes it as "long non-coding RNA (SMIL_LNC002987)". The record is from RNAcentral. Lineage: Eukaryota; Viridiplantae; Streptophyta; Magnoliopsida; Lamiales; Lamiaceae.